GAUGAACGCUAGGCGGCGUGCCUAACACAUUCAAGUCGAACGAGGUAGCAAUACCUAGUGGCGGACGGGUGAGUAACGCGUGAGCAACCUGCCCUUGCGUGGGGGAUACCGUUUGGAAACGAACGUUAAUACCGCAUAAUGUAAUGAGAUCGCAUGGUUUUAUUACCAAAGAUUUAUUGCGCAAGGAUGGGCUCGCGUCUGAUUAGAUAGUUGGUGAGGUAACGGCUCACCAAGUCUACGAUCGGUAGCCGGACUGAGAGGUUGAACGGCCACAUUGGAACUGAGAUACGGUCCAGACUCCUACGGGAGGCAGCAGUGGGGAAUAUUGGGCAAUGGGCGAAAGCCUGACCCAGCGACGCCGCGUGAAGGAAGAAGGUCUUCGGAUUGUAAACUUCUUUUAUUAGGGACGAACAGAUGACGGUACCUAAUGAAUAAGCCACGGCUAACUACGUG
Molecule: ribosomal RNA, 453 nt
Filed under: uncultured bacterium
Lineage: Bacteria
Description: bacterial SSU rRNA
Rfam family: Bacterial small subunit ribosomal RNA
Source: RNAcentral